GACGAACGCUGGCGGCGUGCUUAACACAUGCCAGUCGAACGGAAAGGCCCUGCUUGCAGGGUACUCGAGUGGCGAACGGGUGAGUAACACGUGGGUGAUCUGCCCUGCACUUCGGGAUAAGCCUGGGAAACUGUGUCUAAUACCGGAUAGGAGCCAUUUUUAGUGUGAUGGUUGGAAAGUUUUUUCGGUGUAGGAUGAGCUCGCGGCCUAUCAGCUUGUUGGUGGGGUAAUGGCCUACCAAGGCGGCGACGGGUAGCCGGCCUGAGAGGGUGGACGGCCACAUUGGGACUGAGAUACGGCCCAGACUCCGACGGGAGGCAGCAGUGGGGAAUAUUGCACAAUGGGCGCAAGCCUGAUGCAGCGACGCCGCGUGGGGGAUGACGGCCUUCGGGUUGUAAACUCCUUUCGCUAGGGACGAAGCUUUUUGUGACGGUACCUAGAUAAGAAGCACCGGCUAACUACGUG
RNAcentral lists this ribosomal RNA (465 nucleotides) under uncultured bacterium. Its description in RNAcentral is "partial 16S ribosomal RNA". It matches the Rfam family "Bacterial small subunit ribosomal RNA", at positions 28 to 507 of the family's 1533-position model. The record is from RNAcentral.